Molecule: ribosomal RNA, 393 nt
Filed under: uncultured bacterium
Lineage: Bacteria
Description: bacterial SSU rRNA
Rfam family: Bacterial small subunit ribosomal RNA
Source: RNAcentral
CCUACGGGAUGCAGCAGUGGGGAAUAUUGCACAAUGGGCGCAAGCCUGAUGCAGCCAUGCCGCGUGUAUGAAGAAGGCCUUUGGGUUGUAAAGUACUUUCAGCGGGGAGGAAGGUGUUGUGGUUAAUAACCGCAGCAAUUGACGUUACCCGCAGAAGAAGCACCGGCUAACUCCGUGCCAGCAGCCGCGGUAAUACGGAGGGUGCAAGCGUUAAUCGGAAUUACUGGGCGUAAAGCGCACGCAGGCGGUCUGUCAAGUCGGAUGUGAAAUCCCCGGGCUCAACCUGGGAACUGCAUUCGAAACUGGCAGGCUAGAGUCUUGUAGAGGGGGGUAGAAUUCCAGGUGUAGCUGUGAAAUGCGUAGAGAUCUGGAGGAAUACCGGUGGCGAAGGCG